UUCCGGCGGUUUAGUUGUCGCUCACCCGUUGUGAGGGUAUGUUGUGUUCAACGUCAGUGCAUUGACAAUUCGAGGCCAACAACCUUCAUCUUUUCGCAGAGCCGAAAGUUCUAAGUGAUUUGUGACUGUUUUUAUUGUUACCCAGUGAGUUUUAAUUGAUAAAAGGGUGGAUAUUAUUUAAGUGCAUGGUGAUGGUACUAUUUUCUCUAAUUUGGAUUAAGUCGGAACGGUGAAAAAUUUCGUGUAUGGAUGUGGAAUGAGGGCGGCGACCCAGUGGGAUCAGGUGGCAUGGACUGCCUGCAGCUGCGCCAACCAGCAGGCCCGUUUCAUUACCUCAUCAGCGAACAGGCCAAGUCUCUGGUCGCCCUUCAAGAACUUCAGCAUGAGGUGGGGGCCCUCCUGGAGUUCCGCGAUCUCGUCAUCGAGACUUUUCCAAACCUCCGAAGUAAGAUGGCGUCCUCCACCCCGGCGACGAUGACCUCACACCAUUCCAACAUUCCCGUAUCGAUAAGACCAGGAGAUUGGACACCGGGGAUAAGAGUGAGGAAGAAAAUUGGCAGUAAGGACGAUAGGAAGAAAGGAGGAGAUACGGCGGUGCAAGAUUCGGGAUUCAGUACCGAAACUUCGAGCAAGGAAACACAUAGCGCUUCAUCUACUGCGUUGGCAACAUCUUCAUCUGCAGCUGGUGCGAUAGAGUCUGACGAAGUCGAAGACGAACUUUGGAACCUUCUAGACAUCAUUCACCGCAAAGGAACCCGUUUAAAAGAUGAAGCCGAAGUCCUGCAAGGCACUCUCCGCGAACAAGCUAUGCAUAAAGACGAACAAGAUGGAGGUGGUUCGUUUCAGCAAGUUAUUUUUUCUUCCUCUUGUCCGACAUCAUCAACAGACGUGCGAAAACUGCGUCAGGAGCGCGAUCUACUCCUGGAUCGGUUGGCAGAGAUGGAGGCUGAAGUGCUGGCCGGGAGAGUGCAUACUUCAAGAUUGCAAGAGGAUUUAGAGCAUUUGUUGACGACGAAGCUUGAUUUGGAGGAGCAGCUCAAAGCGGUUGUUACACAAAGAGGUGAAGUGAAUUCGCGUAUUCACGAUUUGCAUCUUCAAUUUGUGACUAAAAGUGGAAGCGUUUCGCCGUCGGAAAGUAGCAAGCUCCGUAGAGACUCGACGUCAUCGACGACGGCGAUAUCUAGUCAUCAACGGACAAGUCAAAAUAGUGUUUGUGAUCUUGACUCAGUGCUCAGUGAUAAAAUACCAAAAGUAGCAGUGCCGGAUACGAAAAAAAUACGCGCCAUUUUAAAAGAACACGACUCUUUGGUGCUGCAAAAGCAUCUGUUGACGUCUACAGUACGAAAUCAGCUCCUUCAAGAACAGCUAGAAUCGGCAUCUAGUAUCGAAAUGGAACUCACGGAGAGGUUACAUAAAUUUAAAGAAGAAUACGACGAGUUAAAAUUUCAGCUGGAAGACAAAACUAUUGAAUUAGAGGGCACCAGAGCACGAAUCCGUCUCCUAGAAGAUCUCCAAAAACCUUUAACGAAAAGCAGCUCACCUGAUAUCAUUCCAACUUUAGAGUCAACACCUCCCGGUCGACCGCCUUCCAGGACUGAAAUAUCCACACCUAGUAUGAAGGCCAUGAGUCCCCUUAUCAUGAACAACAUGAAAGCGAUGACUCUGAACCUUCAAACAGAUCAUUCGAGUAGCACGGAAUCUGCGCACGAUCAGUCCACGGAGAAAGAGAAGAAGGACAGUUCGAGGACGAGACGGCCGAGUAAGAUACCUUUGAAGAGUUACACUGCGCCAAAACCUCCGGGAGGUAAACACAGCCCAGCACCAUCCAGCACUCGUAGCCGUAGCGGCGAUUCACCAGGUAGACCACAUUCGGCACAAUCGUGGCGGCCGAAGAGCGAGUCCAACAAGUCCGAAGGCAACAGCCUCAACUCCAAAUCCAACUCCCUUUCCAAAUCGAGGAACAGCUCCCUCGUGACGACCAAGGACUCCUUGUCCGGAAAGCUGAGAUCCAGUGAGUCGUUCCAGAAGUUGAACGGCAGCAACACGUUCGGAAGGAGCGUUCAGAAGAAAAACCUCGGCGGUACUGUCGUCAAGAAGGAAAAUAGCGUGAGUGAUAAGGUACGCACCAAAACUACGACCAGCAUUAUCUGGAGUUUCUUCAGACGUGAUUAGGAGCUGAGGCUGCCAUUUUUUUUAGUUACGCUCUCGGCCUUCAUUGUUAGGGAUAAGUGCAAUUCAAGACUCAAACCUAGCAAAAGAAAAAUCUCCGUCUCAAUGGAUUCUCUCUUCAUAUAGUAGCGACCCGGGCCUAGAUCCAGAUCUCGAGCUGGCGUUCCCGGACUCAUUGGACAAAAACAAUUACGUUCAACAGUCCGUCACCGAUAGUUCCACGAGCUUCCGCUUCCACACCGCCAAUACCUUCAUGUGGAAUACGGGCCGCGCCCGGGCCGACGACGAAUUCUACGAUAGCAUAGACACCGAC
Molecule: unclassified non-coding RNA, 2482 nt
Filed under: Diabrotica virgifera virgifera (western corn rootworm)
Lineage: Eukaryota; Metazoa; Arthropoda; Insecta; Coleoptera; Chrysomelidae
Description: splicing factor, suppressor of white-apricot homolog
Source: RNAcentral